Molecule: long non-coding RNA, 3984 nt
Organism: Aethalodelphis obliquidens (Pacific white-sided dolphin)
Lineage: Eukaryota; Metazoa; Chordata; Mammalia; Artiodactyla; Delphinidae
Exons: 2
Source: RefSeq, a predicted model, not a curated record
UGCCCUUUUCUACGUAUAGAUGGCAGCAGAGCGUUACAGACGGCGGAAGUCAGCCUGGCAGUUAGAACAGAGAUGAGUGACAGUGUAAACCGACUUCUAUCAGCGUGGCCGCCUGUGUCCUGUAGUUAAACAUAAAAUAGGAAAGAAAGCCACUGUUGAUAACACAAGAGUGUAGGAGAAUGAAGAAGGCUGUGAGAAGCUGUAAUACACUGAAUUUCUGGACAAAUCCCAGGUGGGAAAGCUUAAUCUUUGAAGGUAUGUCACCCAGUCCCGUAAGAUGAUAGAAAUCAGCUAAGAUAAUAUGCGUGUCAAAAUCCAGAGGCGACAGAGGGCCGGGGGGCGGAGGGGCAAGGGGGAAGCAAAAGAGAAACCGGACACAGUUUCGGCGGCGAGUGAUGGCCCGCUGCCUGCAGGCUGUGGGGCUUGGCCUGGACGCCGCCUUCUCACUUAAGCCAGUUACCAGGAGGAAAUGUCAGUCCACGAAGCAGGCAAACAUUCCAUGGGAACAUUUGCUCAAAUGUCAGCAUUUUAGAAAAUAGAACUGCGGUCUGUUAUGGUCUGGUCCCCACGCUGGAUUUGCUAUUCAACGUACAAGGACAAAGAGAUUCCUUCAGAAUGCGUUUGCAAUUAGCAAGUCAUUUAAUGUCUUAAUUAGCAUUCCUAAAUAAUGACAUCAUCACCAUAAAAGGUGGCAGUCGUCAUUAUAAUUAAUAUUUAAUAUGCGUCUGCUUCUGAGGGCCCUUCUGUGGCUGCCCGCAAAUAUCCAAGGUAGUUUUCAAGUUUCAGGUUUGGAUUUGGUGAGAGCCCAGGCAUGAGGAUCUAAUAAAGUAAAAUCAUGUUUAUUAGAAACGUGAGGUAUGGAAGCAGGUUAUACAAGAGCAGUUUGUAGCGUGUCCUGAACCGGAGGAUCAGGUCAGCAUCUACUCCUUGGGAGCCUCCUAAGGCUUCUUACUUCCUCGAGGUGAUGCUGCGGCUGUUCAGGAAGACGCUCCCCUGCUCUUCGGCUUCUUCCGAUCUGCUCUCACGCGCUUUAGUACCGCAGACCAGCCUCUGUGUCACAAAACUGAUUCCAAAGGUGUGUCUAACCACUUGCUCAGAUGUAGCGCCUGGCAAGUCUCUCCUGUGACAGCAACUUAUUUCUCACAUAAUUAUUUUCUUAGUAAAUUUGAUAUCUUAACAGCCCCUUACCUCAUUUCUGGGUUCAAAAAAUAACACCGAAUAUUAUUUAUUUCUCAGACUUCACAAAGGCUUACUUGACUGUAGCUGCUGCACCGCGGGAAGGGCCGGGGCUGCCAGGGCCAGUCCCACCGUUGCCCUGGGCCUCGGUGUCACUUAACGAGGCAGAAGACAUAUCCCUGCUGCCGUGGGUUACUUGUUAGUGAUGGAGUGGGUCUGCCCUGUCACAGAUCAGUAGAAAAGAAGAUACAUACUUACACGUGUGCUGUUUCUCUGGUUUAAGUAAGCUAUUGCGUUAACCUCAGUUUGUCUGCACAGCUAGGUCUGUGUUACUCUCAUUUUUUUAGUAGUGUGGGCUGUGUAAAUACAAGAACUAAGAAAGGUUUGAAAUAAUCCAAAUUUGACUUUGAUCCUAAACGUGUAAUUAUUUUAUAAUUUUGUGAGCUUUCAAUUUAAUUAAUUAAACGGCAUUUUAUAAGAUGAACUUUCACCAUCAUAUAGUUCUUAAAAUCAAAGCCUAUGUUGUUUGAAUUAGUGACAAUUAUAUAUAAAUUUCUUCAUACAGCAUUAUCAAAAUAUCAAUUAUAUGUGUUUUAGAUUUAGAAUGAAAUAUAUAUCAUUUGUUUUAGGUUGACAUGUGCUGUUUGAAAACAACUUUUAGCCAGAACAUAGUAUGUUUUGCAGGUUGCAUCUGUAUUUUUGGAUUGAACACUUACUUACGUUCGUAAUUGUAUUGCCGGUCGCUUGUAUUCUUUGGGGAAUGAUUCCAUGUGGAUUUGGUGUCUCUAGCUCUCUGUCUCUCUCUGCCUGCUUCAUUCUCUCGGUUUCCUCUUGAGGAUUCUGCUUCUCAAGCUGAGCAUCUUCUAUGUUGAUGAGUCUUGGUGCUGCAGCUUUACUGGCACAGGGUCCAGACACUAGUCCAUAAAACCCAGUUUAAAAAGUCUCUAAAGUGUGAAAUAUUAGCUUGUCAUUUUUUUCUCAAGUUUUCUCUUUUGACAAGCUUCGUUGAAUUUUCUUUUUCUUUUUUUCCUAUGUGUUCUGCCAUCCUAAUUCUGAAGGAAUUUAUAGAUAUAUCAUUUGGGAAAAGAUGUAUUUUAACUGACAACAUAAAUAUCUUGGUUUCGCAGUUAUCUGGUCAAAGAUUUUAAAUUGCAAACCGUGAAAAUUCGUUCUUUACAAUAUAGCAUAAAUUACAUUUAGUGCUUUCAGUAAAAACAUUUCAGUAAAAUUUUGACACGAACAGUGUCACAUUAAAAAAAAAACUCAAUGUCAGCUCAUAUGCUCAUGAAAUAUUUAAUAGAAACAUUGCAGGUUAAUUUUGUCUUCUUUAAUAAUAAAAUAUAAGUUUACAAAGAGUUUUGACUCAGCUUACUCAUUGUCUUGCAAUUACUAAUACAAAUGAGAAUUUUUAAUGAGAUAAGAAUUACACUUCUCCGUGUAAAACAGCAACGAAGUGCAGAGAUUUAAUGCUUACCUUUACUUUCAGGGGCACCUCAUUUUCUCCACUGCAGUAGAUCUUAAUUCCAGAUGUUAGCACACGACAUUCGUGUAGUGUUCCAAUCACAUGUUUGUUUGUUUAAUAUUCGCUCUGUGACCUGACGCGCUCUGUGGUAUCAUGAUUUCUCGGUUAUGCAGAUUUUGUUGCUGUUAUUGACUUCUUAUUUGCAGUCUUCCAUCUGUGUUAAACUAAAGACAUAUGUUGUGUUGUCACCUGUCAGAUCCCUUAUGAAUAGUCUGUACUUUACUUAAAUUGUAUUGUGGUUUUAGACCUUUAUGAACAGAGCUUCAUAAAAUUAAGUAAGAUAGUUUGUUGCGUAUACAGAUAUGUUCAUGAAACAUCGCUAUAAUGAUGAAAAUAUUGAUUGUUGGAACAAUUAAGACAUUAAGAAAACACAUAUUUAAAUGUGGCUAAUGUCUGAAAAUUUGUGAGUUGUUUAUCUCUUAGAAAUUUGUGAUAAAUCUAAAAGAUAACUAAGGAUUUCACUAUAUUGAAAAAUUUAUAGAUAUGUAUUUAUUUAACCCAGUUUUAAUUAUAUAAUUAUUUUAUGAUUUAAGCCUCAUUGAUCUUGUGUGUGUGAUCAGUAUAUUGAAAUGUAAAGCAUUCUAAAUACUAGCACAGGAUAUUUUUUCUUCAUGAGAAGAAAUAGAAGGAAUUAGACUAGCCAGAGCCUUUUUAGUCUUGCAAAGCAAAACUCAUGAAUGAAACGUGCAGCUUCUCUGGGCCUCAGUUUCCACAUCUGUAAAAUGGGGGGUGAGGCUUUGGGAAGGAAGGGUUAGGUCAGCUGCUCUCUGAGAUCUCUUCCACCCUAAAAUUCAAUGAUGAUAUGAUUUGUUUUUUGCAGUAGUGUUAUGCUUAUCAAUGUAAAUUGUAUGUCUUAUCUAAUGUAAACGUAAGUGUAAUAAAAGCUAAGGAUGAAAAGUUCAGUCUCUUUUCAAAACCAUACUUUUAGGGAAGAAUCAGUGGACAGAUUUUAGUAUAAAUGGUUUUCUCAAGAAAUAUUUGAAAUCCUAAUCUAGAGUAGACUUCUACCUUUUAAAAAAUGUAAUGCAGAAGAGUAGAAACUAGAUGUUUGAUUUGUGGGAUAAUGAGUUUGUCACAUCCGUAUUGGCAACUCUACUAAAUAUACGCUAAGUGUGAGUUUAUAAUGAGAAAUGUCGUGGUUAAAUAUAGACAAUGAUUUUAGAAAACAAAAAGUGAAAGUUUAGAAAAUAUAUUUUUAAAAGCCAACAUUAUAAUUUUACUAGCACAGCCUGAAUUCAUCAUCUGGCAGAAAAAAACAAAAUUAAAUGUUUUAAUUUCCAAGAUUU